CCUACGGGAGGCAGCAGGGGGGAAUAGUGCACAAUGGGGGAAACCCGGAUGCAGCAACGCCGCGGGAAGGAAGACGGUUUUCGGAUUGUAAACUUCUGUUCGUAGGGAAGAAGAAUGACGGUAGCUAAGGAGCAAGCCACGGCGAACUACGUGCCAGCAGCCGCGGUAAUACGGAGGGGGCAAGCGUUGUCCGGAAUUACUGGGUGUAAAGGGAGCGCAGGCGGGAAGCCAAGGCAGCGGUGAAAACUACGGGCUUAACUUGUAGACUGCAGUUGAAACUGGUUUUCUUGAGUGAAGUAGAGGUUGGCGGAAUUCCGCGUGUAGCGGUGAAAUGCGUAGAUAUUCGGAGGAACACCGGUGGCGAAGGCGGCCCACUGGGCUUUAACUGACGCUGAGGCUCGAAAGUGUGGGGAGCAAACAGGAUUAGAUCCCCCAGUAGUC
RNAcentral lists this ribosomal RNA (441 nucleotides) under uncultured bacterium. RNAcentral's name for it is "partial 16S ribosomal RNA". It matches the Rfam family "Bacterial small subunit ribosomal RNA", at positions 338 to 795 of the family's 1533-position model. The record is from RNAcentral.